UGAACACCGCCAGUCUCUAAUGAAGUUUUGUUACUACAUGCUAAGAGAAGCAGCUAAGACAAUAAUUUCAUUUACGGUGCUAGUUUAGACGUACGCUUGCGGAAAAAAAAAUUUGUAUUGAGACUUGUUUAGAUGACAUGCGCGUGCUAGUGAAGAUCAAGUUAAACCAGAAUCAUGGUUUCGAAAUAGAGUAAAACAACAACCAUAAUGGCGGUUUAGAUACAUAAAUUGGUGUUUAUAUGUACAAAGUUAGCUAUUUAAACGGAUUACAACCGAAUGAAGACUUCACUCAGCUAACAGAAGUCAGAGAGGAGUAUUCAUCUGCAGGCUUAGCCAGACUUUCGACCUCUUCAAGUCGGUUGAUUUAUUUCCAUUUUUAAGCUUAGACCAUUAAAAAUCAACAAGGAAAUCAGUUAUAGGAUGUUGACCCAGCUAAGCCGAGGCCACAAGGCGUUGAAAAUGCUGGCCUUCAUGGGUGUCACUCUUUGCCUUCUCUUGACUCUGUCACCCCAUUCCGCUGAGGCGACGCCGGGAUCCAGGGACUGGCCAACCGACGCAGUGUUGACUCCGGCCAGCAGCGUGGAGCUUAUGGAGCUGCAGGAAGACGAGGCGCCUCACAGGCUCCGCCGAUCUGCAUUUCUGCCUUUGUUCAUCCCCUUCGCCAAGCGUGGUCCUAUUCACAGUGACGUCAUGGCUCUGUCGGAUAUCUUGUUAAUGGAAAGAGAGAGAAAGACGAGAGAAGAUGUAAUGAAUAUGCUGAAUGGAAUGUGAAAAUGAAACAAUCAACUUAUAUUUCGCCUUAAAGCUACGUCACAUUUUACAUUAGAUUAUUUUCGCAUUUAUAUCAAAACGAUUUAUUUUAACACUUAGGGCGACAACAUGGGGUUUGUGCAAAGGAAAAAUUCUUGUCUAUUUUAAAAUUUCUUGAAAGUAAAUAUAUUAUUUAAAAAAAAUAUUGGUACCAGUAUUACA
This is a long non-coding RNA of Biomphalaria glabrata, 972 nucleotides long. RefSeq lists it as uncharacterized. The transcript has 2 exons. The record is from RefSeq and is a predicted model, not a curated record. Lineage: Eukaryota; Metazoa; Mollusca; Gastropoda; Planorbidae.